Molecule: ribosomal RNA, 397 nt
Filed under: uncultured beta proteobacterium
Lineage: Bacteria; Pseudomonadati; Pseudomonadota; Betaproteobacteria
Description: bacterial SSU rRNA
Rfam family: Bacterial small subunit ribosomal RNA
Source: RNAcentral
UGCAUCGGAACGUGUCCUGAAGUGGGGGAUAACGCAUCGAAAGAUGUGCUAAUACCGCAUAUUCUCUGAGGAGAAAAGUAGGGGAUCGAAAGACCUUAUGCUUUUGGAGCGGCCGAUGUCUGAUUAGCUAGUUGGUAAGGUAAUGGCUUACCAAGGCAACGAUCAGUAGUUGGUCUGAGAGGACGGCCAGCCACACUGGGACUGAGACACGGCCCAGACUCCUACGGGAGGCAGCAGUGGGGAAUUUUGGACAAUGGGCGCAAGCCUGAUCCAGCAAUGCCGCGUGAGUGAAGAAGGCCUUCGGGUUGUAAAGCUCUUUCAGUUGAGAAGAAAAAGUCGUGACUAAUAAUCAUGAUUCAUGACGGUAUCAACAGAAGAAGCACCGGCUAACUACGUG